Molecule: ribosomal RNA, 653 nt
Filed under: Bacillus licheniformis
Lineage: Bacteria; Bacillati; Bacillota; Bacilli; Caryophanales; Bacillaceae
Description: bacterial SSU rRNA
Rfam family: Bacterial small subunit ribosomal RNA
Source: RNAcentral
GAGCACGCCGCGUGAGUGAUGAAGGUUUUCGGAUCGUAAAACUCUGUUGUUAGGGAAGAACAAGUACCGUUCGAAUAGGGCGGUACCUUGACGGUACCUAACCAGAAAGCCACGGCUAACUACGUGCCAGCAGCCGCGGUAAUACGUAGGUGGCAAGCGUUGUCCGGAAUUAUUGGGCGUAAAGCGCGCGCAGGCGGUUUCUUAAGUCUGAUGUGAAAGCCCCCGGCUCAACCGGGGAGGGUCAUUGGAAACUGGGGAACUUGAGUGCAGAAGAGGAGAGUGGAAUUCCACGUGUAGCGGUGAAAUGCGUAGAGAUGUGGAGGAACACCAGUGGCGAAGGCGACUCUCUGGUCUGUAACUGACGCUGAGGCGCGAAAGCGUGGGGAGCGAACAGGAUUAGAUACCCUGGUAGUCCACGCCGUAAACGAUGAGUGCUAAGUGUUAGAGGGUUUCCGCCCUUUAGUGCUGCAGCAAACGCAUUAAGCACUCCGCCUGGGGAGUACGGUCGCAAGACUGAAACUCAAAGGAAUUGACGGGGGCCCGCACAAGCGGUGGAGCAUGUGGUUUAAUUCGAAGCAACGCGAAGAACCUUACCAGGUCUUGACAUCCUCUGACAACCCUAGAGAUAGGGCUUCCCCUUCGGGGGCAGAGUG